CAGGUCGGCCAGGCGGUCGCGCUCCGCGCAAGGCGCGGGGUGAGGAAAGUCCGGGCUCCACAGGGCACGGUGCUGGGUAACGCCCAGGCGGGGUAACCCGACGGAUCGGGCCACAGAAACAGACCGCCAGCGGGCGGAGGGGGGCCGUCAGCCUCAGGUUGGCGGUUUCUCCUCUGCUGCGGGCAAGGGUGAAAAGGGGGUGUAAGAGACCACCGGCGUCCGGGGUGACCCGGGCGGCCAGGCAACCCCCACCGGGAGCAAGGCCAAGCAGGGGCGACGCGGAGGCAGUGCCUGUCUCUGCCUCUGCACGGGGCGGCCCGUCCCGUCCGAGCCCCGGGUGGGCCGCUUGAGGCGGCGGGCAACCGCCGUCCCAGAGAGAUGACCGCCCACGACAGAACCCGGCUUAUCGGCCGGCCUGGAGC
This 422-nucleotide RNase P RNA is filed under the name Thermoflexales bacterium. RNAcentral's name for it is "RNase P RNA component class A". It matches the Rfam family "Bacterial RNase P class A". From Rfam's summary of the family: Ribonuclease P (RNase P) is a ubiquitous endoribonuclease, found in archaea, bacteria and eukarya as well as chloroplasts and mitochondria. Its best characterised activity is the generation of mature 5'-ends of tRNAs by cleaving the 5'-leader elements of precursor-tRNAs. The record is from RNAcentral. Lineage: Bacteria; Bacillati; Chloroflexota; Thermoflexia; Thermoflexales.